AACUAACAAGGAUUCCCCUAGUAAUGGCGAAUGAAAAGGGAAAAGCCCAAAUUUGUAAUCUGGCUCUUUCAGAGUCCGAAUUGUAAUUUUAAGAACUGUUUUCAGUGCUGGACCAUAUAUAAGUCUGUUGAAAAGCAGCAUCAUAGAAGGUGAUAAUCCUGUUAAUGAUAUGGACUACCAGUGCAAUAUGAUACAGUCUCUAAGAGUCGAGUUGUUUGGGAAUGCAGCUCAAAGAGGGUGGUAAAUUCCAUCUAAGGCUAAAUAUUGAUGAGAGACCGAUAGCAAACAAGUACCGUGAGGGAAAGAUGAAAAGAACUUUGGAAAGAGAGUUAACAGUACGUGAAAUUGUUAAAAGGGAAACAAUUGAAGUUAGACUUGUUAUUGUUAGUUCAACCUUUUUUUUAAAGGGAGUAUUCUGAUGAUUAACAGACCAACAUCAACUUUUGAGUGUUGGAGAAGGGUUUAAGGAAAUGUAGCAGUCUCUGAUUGUGUUAUAGUCCUGAGCUUUGAUACAAUGCUUAAGGUUGAGGAUUGCAGUAAGCCUCUUUUUUUUUUUGAGGUGGAACAAAUUAAUGUUCUUCUUAACUGAGGAUGGUGGUGCUAUGGCUUUAAAUG
This 615-nucleotide ribosomal RNA is filed under the name Uromyces appendiculatus. RNAcentral's name for it is "eukaryotic LSU rRNA". It matches the Rfam family "Eukaryotic large subunit ribosomal RNA", at positions 63 to 646 of the family's 3401-position model. The record is from RNAcentral. Lineage: Eukaryota; Fungi; Basidiomycota; Pucciniomycetes; Pucciniales; Pucciniaceae.